RNAcentral lists this ribosomal RNA (491 nucleotides) under uncultured bacterium. RNAcentral's name for it is "partial 16S ribosomal RNA". It matches the Rfam family "Bacterial small subunit ribosomal RNA", at positions 29 to 507 of the family's 1533-position model. The record is from RNAcentral.
AGUGAACGCUGGCGGCAGGCCUAAUACAUGCAAGUCGAACGGCAGCACAGGAAGUGCUUGCUCCUACGGGUGGCGAGUGGCGGACGGGUGAGGAAUAUAUCCGACUUUAUUUUUUCGUGGGGGAUUUCGUAGGGAAACCUACGCUAACACCGCAUACGACCUACGGGUGCAUUCAGUGGAUCUUCGGACCUUGCGCGAUACAAUGAGGCGGUGCCGGAUUUGCUAGUUGUCGGGGUAAAGGCGCACAAGGGCGCCGCUCCGUAGCUGGUGUGAGAGGGUGAUGAGCCACAGGGAAAGGGAGACAGGGCACAGUCUCCACGGGAGGCAGCGGUGGGGAAUAUUGGACAAGGGGCGCAAGCCUGAUCCAGCAAUACCGCGUGGGUGAAGAAGUCCUUCGGUUUGUAAAGCCCUUUUUUUGGGAAGGAAGAGCGGGAGAGUAAAACGCCGCUGUUGUGACGGUACCUAAAGAGUAAGCAACGGCUAACUUCGUG